AGAUGUGAGGGUGAUCUGGCUAUAACAUCUGUCACCCCAUUAAUUGCCAGGGUUGAUUCAGCUGAUCUGGCUGGCUAUGUGACUGUUCCCUUCCUCUCUCAUCUCUCCACGUACAUCCCUCCCAAAGCUGUGUGCUUGGUCAAAGAGGACAACCGUCCUCGAUAGAGGAGGACUGUUCUUCGGUCAAGGGUAUACAAGUAGCUGCACUCCCCUGCUAGAACCUCCAAACAAGCUCUCAGUAUCAUUGAGGACCAAUGUAAACUUUAACCUCAGACUGACAACAAAUAGCUGGAGAGAUUCUAGUU
Molecule: small nuclear RNA, 305 nt
Filed under: Cebus imitator (Panamanian white-faced capuchin)
Lineage: Eukaryota; Metazoa; Chordata; Mammalia; Primates; Cebidae
Description: 7SK RNA (ENSCCAG00000005171.1)
Rfam family: 7SK RNA
About the family: 7SK was discovered as an abundant small nuclear RNA in the mid-70s but a possible function has only recently been suggested.
Source: Rfam by way of RNAcentral